CAAUUACCUUUUUGUUCAUUGUUUGCUCUGAUGCACCGUUGCCAAUAAAGGUUGGUGAAUUGAAGCACCGGUAGGCACUUUACACAUCCACUGAAGAAAAUAGUUCCAAAACAUAUUUGAAUAAGGAGGACAACGAAAUGUAUUUAUUUACAUUGAGAACUUUUGCUACAUCGGUUUUACAUUUGUUAAACCGAUGUAGCACUCUCAAAAAUUAAUCUUGUGUUUCUUGGAAAACGUAAAAUGACCCGCGGAUGGAUAUGCGGUUUCAAAAUCAAGCCUGUUCUCUUCAUCAGUCCGUUGGCGCGGAGUCUGCCUGUUGGCUGAUCUACGAAAGAAUCUCGAGGAUCUUUGUGAGGAGCCCGUGGAGCUUGGCACAGGUGGAGGAGCAGCAGAAUCUUCAGUCUACGCUAGAUUGACUGAAGAUUCUACUGGUGUAUGCUAGAUGGUUGCAUACACCGGUAGUCACUCUGGCCUCUCCUGUUGUGAACAGUUUUCUGAGAACGUUUCUGUGUCUACUAGAAGUCACCUGGUCUCUGUGUUUGUUCGAUCCUAGGGGUUUUGUCGCCUCAUUCGAGAACUCACCAGUGAAUACCUGCCUGCUCGCUCCGCCGAUUCCACUGCCUCCACUCCACCCUUCGAGCUUCCAGCUCUCUUCCAUUCCCACCUCGCAUUUACCUUCGGAACCGCUGCACACCCUCUCUCAGGAACCUGGCAUCUCACACCCACGCCUCGAAAGACCCGCACCGAAGCUUCAAGAGGAUCAGCGUGUGAAGAUCACUUUAUAAUGAUUUGAAAAAGGUUGCCAUGGCUACAGAAAUUGGAGGAGCAUCCUUAGAUGACACAAUACAACCAGCUGUGCGAUUCCUCAUGUCCCAUGAACUGGAAGUCCAGUUCAACCUUUUUGGCCAACAUUGGAAACAAGCUCUUGGACCUGCGUCUCUUUGAUGUUUUGUAUGGGGACUUAAAAGAAAUUAUCCAUCUACAGAAUCACACAAGCAUACAGCAAAGACUCUCGAAGUGGUUUACUGGAGCCCGAGUGGAAGUGGAAAUAGACUAGAGAGACUGCCAGUUCAAACUCAGGUUGGGGAGGUCUUUCAAGAUGGACAGUUUCAGUAAAGUAUGAGAGAUUUCAAAUUUAAGCAUGCAUAUGGCAUGUAGGUUAUUUUUAAAAAUGUUUAACAAAAAUGUAUUGUGAAAGAUCUAUAUAGGUGUGUAUAUUCACAUUGUGUGUAUCAAUGUGAAUAUACGUGUAUAAAGUUAUAUAGAUAGUAUUUAGAUGUAUACAUUUAUAGACCUGUAGGAAAAUAUGUAGGUGUCUUUAUUUGUGUGCAUCUAUAGAUAUAUAUUUAUAGAUCUGUUUAUAAGUUUGUUAUAGUAAACUAGCUUCUGUUAUUUUCAAAGAUGUCGUGAAUAAUUGCAGAUUUCUUUUUGUGGCACCAUUCCCUGAGUAUUAAUGAAGUUCUAAUAAUUGCUGUAGUGAGGUAAAAAAUAACUCCUGACAAUAUUUUAAAUUACUAAAUAAAAGCCUUGAGCAAAAUAAA
Long non-coding RNA from Poeciliopsis prolifica (blackstripe livebearer), 1541 nucleotides. RefSeq lists it as uncharacterized. The transcript is spliced from 5 exons. Lineage: Eukaryota; Metazoa; Chordata; Actinopteri; Cyprinodontiformes; Poeciliidae. The record is from RefSeq and is a predicted model, not a curated record.